RNAcentral lists this long non-coding RNA (229 nucleotides) under Lathyrus oleraceus (garden pea). RNAcentral describes it as "Pisum sativum (pea) long non-coding RNA (PSAT_LNC040187)". The record is from RNAcentral. Lineage: Eukaryota; Viridiplantae; Streptophyta; Magnoliopsida; Fabales; Fabaceae.
UUUUCUUCUGUAUACUGUCGCAUUAAUGCGUUGAUUAAAUGUGGGAGGAAAUCCUUAUCACUCCUCUACUUGUUUCUAUUGUUAGUAUUUUCAGCCAAUACAAAAAAAUUUGUUUGUCCUUAUCAAUCAUUUAUACAUAAUUUGGCAUAACAAUUUUUUUUCCUUAAAGACUAAAUGCAUACCCUACGAGUACAUAGGUUGUCUUAUUGAGGUUUUGUUAGGAAAACUG